AGAAUGCUACAGGCAUGGCCCUAAAGAAUGUAGCCUGAUGGGCAGUGUAGUCCGUGCUGCAGGGAGAAUGGACUACCAUACCCGUUAUGUGUCUGUGAGCGAGGGAGGGAGAGAAAGGAAAAGUCCGAGCUGUCACGGAGCAAAAACGGGAGCUGGAAGCAUGUAAAUAUAAUAAUAACCACAGCAACCAAGAAGAGUGCCUGACGAGCCCAGCUACAGCCCCGCUUCCUCUGAGACCAUUUCCAAUGAGGCUUUGGUGAGCAACAGAUGGAUUAACUGAAGGGCAGCGUCUCAUGACAAUGACGUGUGACGUCCGUGGCAGCAAGAGAUAUGUGCAGAUCAACAAUGGAAAAUAUGGAGCGUGGGAAAAAUUAAACUUCAGAUCUGAGCAAGCACCGAGCACGCUGCCACGGGAAUGUGAAAUCCACAGAGAAACCCCCCGGAUCCCCCCACUGACACGACCGCUGUGGCACCGGGCAAACCUCCACCCGCCC
Molecule: long non-coding RNA, 494 nt
Organism: Oreochromis aureus
Lineage: Eukaryota; Metazoa; Chordata; Actinopteri; Cichliformes; Cichlidae
Source: Ensembl